RNAcentral lists this ribosomal RNA (433 nucleotides) under uncultured bacterium. RNAcentral describes it as "partial 16S ribosomal RNA". It matches the Rfam family "Bacterial small subunit ribosomal RNA", at positions 29 to 507 of the family's 1533-position model. The record is from RNAcentral.
AGUGAACGCUGGCGGCAUGCCUAACACAUGCAAGUCGAACGAGACCUUCGGGUCUAGUGGCGCACGGGUGCGUAACGCGUGGGAACCUGCCCUUAGGUUCGGAAUAACUCCCCGAAAGGGGUGCUAAUACCGGAUAAUGUCUUCGGACCAAAGAUUUAUCGCCUUUGGAUGGGCCCGCGUUGGAUUAGCUAGUUGGUAGGGUAAAAGCCUACCAAGGCGACGAUCCAUAGCUGGUCUGAGAGGAUGAUCAGCCACACUGGGACUGAGACACGGCCCAGACUCCUACGGGAGGCAGCAGUGGGGAAUAUUGGACAAUGGGCGAAAGCCUGAUCCAGCAAUGCCGCGUGAGUGAUGAAGGCCUUAGGGUUGUAAAGCUCUUUUACCCGGGAUGAUAAUGACAGUACCGGGAGAAUAAGCUCCGGCUAACUCCGUG